This 914-nucleotide ribosomal RNA is filed under the name uncultured bacterium. RNAcentral's name for it is "bacterial SSU rRNA". It matches the Rfam family "Bacterial small subunit ribosomal RNA", at positions 33 to 932 of the family's 1533-position model. The record is from RNAcentral.
ACGCUGGCGGCGUGCCUAAUACAUGCAAGUAGAACGCUGAAGGAGGAGCUUGCUUCUCUGGAUGAGUUGCGAACGGGUGAGUAACGCGUAGGUAACCUGCCUGGUAGCGGGGGAUAACUAUUGGAAACGAUAGCUAAUACCGCAUAAUAGUAGAUGUUGCAUGACAUUUGCUUAAAGGGUGCAAUUGCAUCACUACCAGAUGGACCUGCGUUGUAUUAGCUAGUUGGUGGGGUAACGGCUCACCAAGGCGACGAUACAUAGCCGACCUGAGAGGGUGAUCGGCCACACUGGGACUGAGAUACGGCCCAGACUCCUACGGGAGGCAGCAGUAGGGAAUUUUCGGCAAUGGACGGAAGUCUGACCGAGCAACGCCGCGUGAGUGAAGAAGGUUUUCGGAUCGUAAAGCUCUGUUGUAAGAGAAGAACGAGUGUGAGAGUGGAAAGUUCACACUGUGACGGUAUCUUACCAGAAAGGGACGGCUAACUACGUGCCAGCAGCCGCGGUAAUACGUAGGUCCCGAGCGUUGUCCGGAUUUAUUGGGCGUAAAGCGAGCGCAGGCGGUUAGAUAAGUCUGAAGUUAAAGGCUGUGGCUUAACCAUAGUACGCUUUGGAAACUGUUUAACUUGAGUGCAAGAGGGGAGAGUGGAAUUCCAUGUGUAGCGGUGAAAUGCGUAGAUAUAUGGAGGAACACCGGUGGCGAAAGCGGCUCUCUGGCUUGUAACUGACGCUGAGGCUCGAAAGCGUGGGGAGCAAACAGGAUUAGAUACCCUGGUAGUCCACGCCGUAAACGAUGAGUGCUAGGUGUAGACCCUUUCCGGGGUUUAGUGCCGUAGCUAACGCAUUAAGCACUCCGCCUGGGGAGUACGACCGCAAGGUUGAAACUCAAAGGAAUUGACGGGGGCCCGCACAAGCGG